The sequence is a small nucleolar RNA, 94 nucleotides long. It matches the Rfam family "A. fumigatus snoRNA Afu_335". The record is from Rfam.
UGUUAUGAUGAAUCCCAGAUAGGGACAGCUUAUACCAUUGGUAUAUGAUGCGAACCUGGGCACAGUAUUUUAGUAGAUGCUCUGUUUUCUGAAC